ACGUAGGGUGCGAGCGUUAAUCGGAAUUACUGGGCGUAAAGCGUGCGCAGGCGGUUGUGCAAGACAGAUGUGAAAUCCCCGGGCUCAACCUGGGAACUGCAUUUGUGACUGGCGGGCUGGAGUACGGCAGAGGGGGGUGGAAUUCCACGUGUAGCAGUGAAAUGCGUAGAGAUGUGGAGGAACACCGAUGGCGAAGGCAGCCCCCUGGGCCGAUACUGACGCUCAUGCACGAAAGCGUGGGGAGCGAACGG
This 251-nucleotide ribosomal RNA is filed under the name uncultured prokaryote. Its description in RNAcentral is "partial 16S ribosomal RNA". It matches the Rfam family "Bacterial small subunit ribosomal RNA", at positions 525 to 775 of the family's 1533-position model. The record is from RNAcentral.